Molecule: non-coding RNA, 46 nt
Organism: Apaloderma vittatum (bar-tailed trogon)
Lineage: Eukaryota; Metazoa; Chordata; Aves; Trogoniformes; Trogonidae
Source: Rfam
AAAAUGGCAUUUCUAAAUGCCAUAUAUAAUUUCAGCAAUUGAAAAU